GGAAGGAUCAUUAACACGUAUCCACGUACCCACCCCCGGUCACUUGGUUUUUACCGCCCUACGCUUUACAUGAAUAGGAACCGAUAGGAUUGAUUGGAUGGGGCCGGUAAAACGGUCGCUCCUAUCGCUAUUUACGCAACCGAAAGGAAGCGUUAACGAUUGUAGUAAAGAAGUAGGCAAAAUUCUAUUACGAACUUCUCCAUUCAAGAUGGGCGUAAUAGAGCAUUAAUCACCCUUAUCACCCCCUUUUUGCUAGUUGACUUUAUUAUGUUGUUUUCAUUGUAAUUAAUUUUAUGAUGGACUCACACGUUUAUUUAUUUAAACAAUUAAACAACUCUUAGCAAUGGAUAUCUUGGUUCUCGCAACGAUGAAGAACGCAGCGAAAUGCGAUACGUAAUGCGAAUUGCAGAAUUCAGUGAAUCAUCAAAUCUUUGAACGCAAAUUGCGCUCUUGGGUAGCCCUAGGAGCACGCCUCUCUCAGUAUCGGUUCAAUCACCGCUCAGCAGCGUUCGCACAUAUUUAUAUGUACGAAUGUGAUGGCUGGAAAAUGAGUGUCUGUAUACUAGUGAUACAGUCGCUUGAAAUAUAUGGAGUGAUAGACAACCCGUUUAUUCAACUCGCCACUUUUCGAAGUGUCGAUAGUUCUUCUCGGACGGUUGAUAACGAGUGACGUGAAUACUGACCUCCGGGUCUCUCUUUUUACGUGUAUCUCGAUAUUUACCAUACAGUCUAGGAAGAAUGAACGAAAAAUCAGGUACUAUCAUGUAAAGUGGCGCAAGCUACAAUCGGCUAUUAACGAUAAUUUAAUUAUUGAAGAUAGUCUGAAUUUUGAUCUGAGAUGAAGCGAGACAACCCCCUGAAUUUAAGCAUAUUAAUAAGGGGAGGAAAAGAAACUAACAAGGAUUCCCUCAGUAACGGCGAGUGAAGCGGGAAGAGCUCAAUUUGAAAAUCGAUUACCUAAACGGGUCAUCGAAUUGUAGCCUAGAGACGUACUAUCAGCUGAAACCUGGGUAUAAGUUCUUUGGAAUGAGGCAUCAUAGAGGGUGAGAAUCCCGUAUAUGACCCAAAGCUUUCAGCGUACGAUGUAUGUUCAUCGAGUCGAGUUGUUUGGGAUUGCAGCUCUAAAUGGGUGGUAAGUUUCAUCUAAAGCUAAAUAAUGGCGAGAGACCGAUAGCGAACAAGUACCGUGAGGGAAAGAUGAAAAGAACUUUGAAAAGAGAGUUAAAAGUACUUGAAAUUGCUAAGAGGGAAGCGCUGUCAACCAGUGAUAUGCGUCGUUCAUCGCUUUCAGCUCCACUAGCUGUCAUGUGUCGUUGGAAACUCGACAUGCGGCAGCGAAAGGGUGGUUGGGAGUUUAGGACGGCGUGUCAGUCAAGAUCCAUUCGAUGAGUGGGAGAAGGUGGGGGGAAAGGUAGGAGACCUGUCUCUGUUAUAGUCCCCUCACUCUACCUCGCGUUGGAUGGAGGAAGGAAUAGUGCGCCGCUUGCGGCUUGGUCCCGUGCUCCUAUGUCUUUAGUUGCUCUGAUCGCAAUGCUAUCUUUGUGACGACUGGCCAUACUGGGUACGACGAUUCUAUGUGCUAUCACGAUCUUGUACGAAAUGGUUGUCAUCGACCCGUCUUGAAACACGGACCAAGGAGUCUAACAUCUAUGCGAGUAUUUGGGUGAAAAACCCGCAUGCGUAAUGAAAGUAAAGGUAGCUUCGGCUGCUGAGGUAGGAAUCCGGUCAAACGGAGGCACUAUCGACCGAUCAUCACUUGUGAAAGAUUUGAGUAAGAGCAUAUCUGUUGGGACCCGAAAGAUGGUGAUCUAUGCCUGAACAGGGUGAAGCCAGGGGAAACUCUGGUGGAGGCUCGUAGCGAUACUGACGUGCAAAUCGUUCGUCUGAUUUGGGUAUAGGGGCGAAAGACUAAUCGAACCAUCUAGUAGCUGGUUCCCUC
RNAcentral lists this unclassified non-coding RNA (1939 nucleotides) under uncultured fungus. Its description in RNAcentral is "sequence contains 18S rRNA gene, ITS1, 5.8S rRNA gene, ITS2, 28S rRNA gene". The stretch from base 830 to 1939 matches the Rfam family "Eukaryotic large subunit ribosomal RNA", at positions 1 to 961 of the family's 3401-position model. The record is from RNAcentral. Lineage: Eukaryota; Fungi.